CAUGCAAGUCGAACGAAGUAGCAAUACUUAGUGGCAGACGGGUGAGUAACAUGUAGGUAUCUGCCCUUUGGCCUGGAAUAACACGAGGAAACUUGUGCUAAUACCGGAUAAGUCUUUACGGAGAAAGCUUUAUGCACCAUUGGAUGAGCCUGCACUUGAUUAGUUUGUUGGUAGGGUAACGGCCUACCAAGACUGUGAUCAAUAGCUGAUUUGAGAGGAUGAUCAGCCACAUUGGGACUGAGACACGGCCCAAACUCCUACGGGAGGCAGCAGUGGGGAAUCUUGCACAAUGGAGGAAACUCUGAUGCAGCGAUGCCGCGUGAGUGAAGAAGGCCCUUGGGUUGUAAAGCUCUUUCGUCGGGGAAGAAAAUGACUGUACCCGAAUAAGAAGGUCCGGCUAACUUCGUGCCAGCAGCCGCGGUAAUACGAAGGGACCUAGCGUAGUUCGGAAUUACUGGGCUUAAAGAGUUCGUAGGUGGUUGAAAAAGUUAGUGGUGAAAUCCCAGAGCUUAACUCUGGAACUGCCAUUAAAACUUUUCAGCUAGAGUAUGAUAGAGGAAAGCAGAAUUUCUAGUGUAGAGGUGAAAUUCGUAGAUAUUAGAAAGAAUACCAAUUGCGAAGGCAGCUUUCUGGAUCAUUACUGACGCUGAGGAACGAAAGCAUGGGUAGCGAAGAGGAUUAGAUACCCUCGUAGUCCAUGCCGUAAACGAUGUGUGUUAGACGUUGGAAAUUUAUUUUCAGUGUCGCAGGGAAACCGAUAAACACACCGCCUGGGGAGUACGACCGCAAGGUUAAAACUCAAAUGAAUUGACGGGGACCCGCACAAGUAGUGAGCAUGUGGUUUAAUUCGAAGAUACGCGCAGAACCUUACCAACACUUGACAUGUUCGUCGCGACUCUAGAGAUAGAGUUUUCGG
Molecule: ribosomal RNA, 916 nt
Filed under: uncultured marine bacterium
Lineage: Bacteria
Description: bacterial SSU rRNA
Rfam family: Bacterial small subunit ribosomal RNA
Source: RNAcentral